Molecule: ribosomal RNA, 526 nt
Filed under: Staphylococcus aureus
Lineage: Bacteria; Bacillati; Bacillota; Bacilli; Caryophanales; Staphylococcaceae
Description: bacterial SSU rRNA
Rfam family: Bacterial small subunit ribosomal RNA
Source: RNAcentral
GAGCUUUCCCCUUCGGGGGACAAAGUGACAGGUGGUGCAUGGUUGUCGUCAGCUCGUGUCGUGAGAUGUUGGGUUAAGUCCCGCAACGAGCGCAACCCUUAAGCUUAGUUGCCAUCAUUAAGUUGGGCACUCUAAGUUGACUGCCGGUGACAAACCGGAGGAAGGUGGGGAUGACGUCAAAUCAUCAUGCCCCUUAUGAUUUGGGCUACACACGUGCUACAAUGGACAAUACAAAGGGCAGCGAAACCGCGAGGUCAAGCAAAUCCCAUAAAGUUGUUCUCAGUUCGGAUUGUAGUCUGCAACUCGACUACAUGAAGCUGGAAUCGCUAGUAAUCGUAGAUCAGCAUGCUACGGUGAAUACGUUCCCGGGUCUUGUACACACCGCCCGUCACACCACGAGAGUUUGUAACACCCGAAGCCGGUGGAGUAACCUUUUAGGAGCUAGCCGUCGAAGGUGGGACAAAUGAUUGGGGUGAAGUCGUAACAAGGUAGCCGUAUCGGAAGGUGCGGCUGGAUCACCUCCUUU